RNAcentral lists this ribosomal RNA (445 nucleotides) under uncultured bacterium. RNAcentral describes it as "SSU rRNA". It matches the Rfam family "Bacterial small subunit ribosomal RNA", at positions 26 to 518 of the family's 1533-position model. The record is from RNAcentral.
AGAGCGAACGCUGGCGGCAGGCCUAACACAUGCAAGUCGAGCGCCGUAGCAAUACGGAGCGGCAGACGGGAGAGUAACACGUGGGAACGUGCCCUUUGGUUCGGAACAACACAGGGAAACUUGUGCUAAUACCGGAUAAGCCCUUACGGGGAAAGAUUUAUCGCCAAAGGAUCGGCCCGCGUCUGAUUAGCUAGUUGGUGAGGUAACGGCUCACCAAGGCGACGAUCAGUAGCUGGUCUGAGAGGAUGAUCAGCCUCACUGGGACUGAGACACGGCCCAGACUCCUACGGGAGGCAGCAGUGGGGAAUAUUGGACAAUGGGCGCAAGCCUGAUCCAGCCAUGCCGCGUGGAUGAUGAAGGCCCUAGGGUUGUAAAGUCCUUUCGGCGGGGAAGAUAAUGACGGUACCGCAGAAGAAGCCCCGGCUAACUUCGUGCCAGCAGCCGC